GACGGUGCUGGAGUCUUGCCUUCGUGCCGCGCAGGGGGCGUGCCUUCCGUGGCGCCACUGCCUUGCUGCCAGCCCGGCAGCGUCGCCCCACUCCUGUGGGACGGCUAUCCUGGCGCGGAGUCGGCUGUCCCUUCCAGGCUGCGUACUGCAGCCGCCGUCAACGGAUGCGGCGGGCCGUGUGGUAUGUUGGGAUUGGGACGUGGGUCACCUGCGCCUGCGCUUCGUGUGUGUGUAUGCGCCCACGGCCGUGGCGGACAAGCCUGCUUUCUUUGCCGGGCUGCAUACCCACCUGGCCUCGGACAGGGUGCUUGUUGUCGGUGGGGACUGGAACUGUGUCACCGAUGCCAGUCAGGAGGCGGCCCCUAGCCCAUCACGUGCUGCAGGUGCCCCGCAACUUGCCAGCCUCCUCGCCCAGUUCAGUCUGGUGGACCCUUGGGCGAGCAAGCGUGGCGGCGCCAAGGGCUACACGCAUCCGGCCACGCCCAAGCCGGCCACUCCCGCACGCCUGGAUCGGUGGUAUGUCAGUGCCGCCGCGGCGCCGUGGGUGGUGGAUGUCGCUCGCACGUAUGGGGCGCCUGGGGACCACAACGGUGUGCUGCUCACCCUGUCCUUGCCCGACCUGCCACAUGCGCACCGGGAGCAGUGGCGCUUCCCCACAUACCUGCUGUUUCACCCCUCGCUGCGUCUGGAGCUCGAGCAGCGCUUGGAGGCGCACGUUGCCGCAAAUCCUGUGACCAGUACAGGUGACGGCGAUUGCACGCAAUGGGAGGCGGACAAGUUCUUCUUGCGGGAGGCCGCCACCAGCAUCCACCGUCGGCAUGCACGCCAGACCCGGGACGGGCUGCAUGGCGUGGUGCUGGCCGCAGACGCGGCCGCUGCCCUGGCCGACCGGCCGGGUGCCAGCGCCGCGCAGCGUCAGGCUGCGGCCAUGGCCAACUUGGCGGUGUGGGAGGAGCGGGCAGCUGCCGCAGCGGCCAGCCACAAUGCCCGCGCUGCACUGAUGGAGGAGCAUGGGGAGCGGGGCACUCGCUGGUUCCAUCGGCAGGCUGACGAGCCAGCAGCCGGCGCGCAGGAGCCCAUCACGCACUUGAAGGUGCCGGGGCAACCGGCGCCUGUGGCGCUCACGGGGCCGGGCACGCGCAACACUGUCUCCGCAGCCGCUGCAGCCAUGUACAGCAGCACCACUUUACUUUACUUUACUUUACUUUACUCUCUUCUCUUGCUAUUCUUGCAUCCUCUUUUCCUUCUGCACAGCUUUGAAACAGUCGACGUCAUUUCUCUCGCGCUGUUUGACUUGCUUCCUUUUGUUUUAGGCUUCUUAAGGCCUACGAACCACUGUGAAGCAGUUUGCAUUUGUGGGCGUCCUCGUUUUUCGUCAGUCCACUUUGCAGCUGUAGCGCGACACUCCCUCUCCAGCGCCCUUCAGCCUAUGCCGGCUUGUGCUUUGGAACUCGACACCGCUAUGGAAUAGGAUUCUGGCGGUCCAGGAGCGUCGCCGUGGAGUUGGCGACAUUUCGCUUGUCAGCAUUUUAACAUCUCGGCGAGCACCACACUUCACCAGCUUGGAGCAGGCGGCGUAUCAACCUUUGUGGUUGGUCAUUUGCAUCCGCGCGUGCAGCAGGGUGCUUUGGGUGUGGCAGUCGGGGGCGCCCUGCAGCACUUGGCUGUUUUUUUGGGGUGUGGCUCGUCUUCGUGCCCUUGUUGCCUGGUGCAUGGUUGCCUGGCGCCCGCCCUGCUGUGAUGCCCUGUGAGUGCUGAUCCUGGGCAGCUAUGCAGUUGCUGGGUGAUCCUGGUCGGUUCCGCCUGGUGUCUCAGCGCAGCCAAGACACCAGGGGCCAACGCCAGCCAUACAGCACACCCACACACAGCGCGGCCACAGCAGCACAUGCCGUGCCGUGUGGGGGGCCUGCCUUUGGGCAUCGCCGCCCACUGCCAGGCUUGGCAGCGGACAGCACCCCUGCUGGUGGGGGCAACGCUGCCAGCCCGUUCUUCAGCCCCGGGCUGCAGCUCCACCUUGCCCUGUCCACGCAUAGCCUGGCGCACGGAGUGCAGGACCUGACGACGCAGCCUCAGGGCCCCAGCCUGCCUACCUACCCAGUCCUUCUGGUGGGUGCCACCACGGGGCUCCCAGAGGGCGAGCAGCUGUCCUCAGCCAGCGUCCGGGAAGUGACCAGUGCUGCCCUGUCAGUGCUGGACACCAUGUGCCGGCAGGGCAACCAGCCGCAGCUCUUGCAGGGCCACUCUCUGCACAGCACAGGCCACCCCUCCCGCACGCUUGCGGGGCUGGCCUUCAGCCGGCGCGCGACCAGCGCCAGCAAAGCAGCCUUCACAGCGGAGCUCAUGCGCAAGUCGCCGCUGGCGGUACCACUCCAGCGCGGUCAGGCUGUCCUCACGGUUCACGUGCCAGUGGACACCCGGCCCAUCAUUCCGGGCACCUACACCGUCACGGUCAAGAUGGUAGGGGGCCCUGUGUGGGGGGCUUUCCGUGGUCGCACCGAUUUGGUGCUGCAGGCGGGUGGCUAUCCCACCACCUCGGACCCCUCUAACCUGACAUGUGCUUAUGUGGUCUCAGAGCAGUGCGCCAAAUCGGUGGGCCCCAAGGGGGAGCCCCAGGCCCCCGCAGGCCAGGGCAUCACCAACCACAUCUUUGCCUGUGUGCGGGGCCCCAUCUGGGACCCGCAGCUCUCUCACCUGCACUGUGCCAAGUUUGAGAUGCCCGGUGAGGAGCCCAUGCAGGUGGAGGUCCGUGGCGCCCCCCAGGCGGCUGGGACGGCCACGACAGCUGUGGCAGGCAGCCCUGCUCCGGCUGCAGCCGGGGUCGCCGACCUGGGUGGCAACACCUUGGGUGUGGCGAGGCCCGCGGCUGCCAUGGCGACCGCAGCGGACAUUGUUGACCACGUGGGGGACGUGCAGAUGCAGGAGGCGGCGGGUUUGGGUGACGCGGCGGCUGCAGCUGGUGGCGCCAGCGGGCCACACAGCGGGGCCCUGCCCCCGCUGCCAGUUCUGGUGGCGGGGGGAAGCAACCGUGCUGCUGCAGCUGCCCUGCGGGCCGCGCUGCAGCAGCAGCCCUCUUCACAGCAGCGGGUGACAGCGGGAGGGCUUAGCGGGGUCCAGCCGGCGGCAUGUGUGGGGGGGCCGCUGGCGGCCGGGCCUCGCCCUGCCGGUGCUGGGCCGGCUGGCGUGCAGCAGCAGCCCAGUGGGGCUCCCGCGCCACUGCCACCCUUGGAUCAGCGGGCAGCCGCCGGGCAGGAUCAGGAGCAGACUGCUGUGAUGCGGCGGUACUUGGCCGAGCUGGCGGACCUCAAUCUUCAGCGGCAACAGCGGUUACAGCAGCAGCAGCAGCAGGAGCUGCAGCGCCAGGGGCAGUCACCCAGGCCCCGGACCGGCUCCCAGGUUAUGGUCCUGGCCACGCUGGGGGGACAGGACGGGGCGGGCGGUGGCGCUGGCAGGGCGGCGUCACGGCGUGGGCAACGUGUUGACGUAGUUGACCACAUGGGGGACGUUCAGAUGCAGGAGGCGGCGGGUUUGGGUGACGCAGCGGCUGCCGCGGGUGGCGUCAGCGGACCACCCGCUGUGGCCUCGCCCUCGCUGCUAGCUCUGAUGGCGGGGGGAAGCACCCGGGCUGCUGCGGCUCCCCUGAGGGCCGAGCGGCAGCAGCAUCCCUCUUCACAGCAGCGGGUGGCAGCGGGAGGGCUUAGCGGGGGGCAGCCGUCAGCAGGCGUGGGGGGGCCGCCGGCGGCCAGGCGUCGCACGGCCGAUGCUGGGCCGGCUGGCGUGCAGCAGCAGCCCAGUGGGGCUCCCGCGCCGCAGCUGCCCUUUGAUCAGCGGGCAGCCGCCAGGCAGGAUCAGCAGCUGACAGCUGCGAUGCAGCGGUACUUGGCCCACAAGGCGGACCUCCAUCUCCAGCAGCAACGGCGGGUACAGCAACAGCAGCAGCAGGAGCAGCAGUGCCAGGUGCAGCCGCCCAGGCCCCGGACCGGCUCCCGGUUUGAGGUGUUGGCCACGCUGGGGGGACAGGACGGGGCGGGCGAUGGCGCUGCCACGGCGGCGCCCGGGCGUGGGCGACGGGUGCAACCAGCCGCGCACGCACCGCCACCGCCGCCGCAGCAACAGCCCCGCUCCAAAGGGCGCGGUGGCCCCGCCCAGCUCCCGCAGCAGAGGGCAGGGCGCUUGGGCGGCGGGCUGCCUCCCCCGCAGGACGGUGCUAGCUCGCCGCCGCGCGUGCCCACUGGGCGGCCGGCCGGGGGACAGCAGGCUGGUGGGGGCAGCGGGUCGGGGCGCCAGGGUGGAGGAGCGGGACAGGCAGUGCCCCAGCCGCCGCCCCAGGCGCGGCCGCCACUGCAGACGUCACAACCGGCGGGUGGUGGUAAGGGCAGGGGCAGGGGCCUGGGCGCGCCGGCUGGGGUUUCGGCCGACACGGCUGGGCGCGCGGGUGGGGGUGCGGGCAGUGAGGCGGAGUACGGGGCCGUUAGCCUGACCCGGGACAUGUGUGUUGCCAUCGGCUCUGACCUCGUGACGCACCAGAACCGCUGCGCAGAUGUGCAGGGGUAUGAGUGGGUGCAGCUGGGCCACGACACGCUUGGUGGCCGCCUCCUCGCCUACCUCCGUGACCAGGGCGCCACCGUACCGGACUGGGCCGUCUGCCGCGUGCCGGCUGGCCGUACCGCCGUCCUGGCACAGCUGCACGACGAGUUCACUGGCUGGUGGCGCCUAUACUCAGCCCAGCCUGCAGACACGCCCCUGCCCUCUGAUGUGACGGAGCAGCUGGAUGACGCCGCGCAGCAGGUGCAGACGGCCUACAUGGACUACGUGCUCCUAGACGCCCGCACCCUGCGGUCCGCUAAGCGUGGGCUGGCGGACCCCGGCGGGGCCAGCGGACCCAGCCGCCGGCAACGCCAGCACCGCAGCCGCAGUACCUCCAGCCUCAUGAGCCUGGGCAGCGCUCCGUUGCACCCCGGCGGCGCCAGCUCAGGUGCCGCUAGCAUGAGCACCAGCAGCGGCGGCGCGCCCCCCAGCCAGGGUGGCGACCGCCGCAGCAAACGCCACAGCAGCAACAGCAACCGCACCCGCCACGGCGCUGCCGUGGCCGGCGGGGGCUCAUAAUGCGGCCACCAGUGGGAGCGGCGAACCUUCGGCUGCUGACAGUGAAUGUCAACGGCCUGGGCUCGCCGCUCAAGGCGCGGGCGCUGGUCUCGCACCUGCAGCAAGUUGGGGCGGAUGUGGCGAUGGUGCAGGAGACCCACGCUACUGACACGACGGUGCUGGAGUCUUGCCUUCGUGCCGCGCAGGGGGCGUGCCUUCCGUGGCGCCACUGCCUUGCUGCCAGCCCGGCAGCGUCGCCCCACUCCUGUGGGACGGCUAUCCUGGCGCGGAGUCGGCUGUCCCUUCCAGGCUGCGUACUGCAGCCGCCGUCAACGGAUGCGGCGGGCCGUGUGGUAUGUUGGGAUUGGGACGUGGGUCACCUGCGCCUGCGCUUCGUGUGUGUGUAUGCGCCCACGGCCGUGGCGGACAAGCCUGCUUUCUUUGCCGGGCUGCAUACCCACCUGGCCUCGGACAGGGUGCUUGUUGUCGGUGGGGACUGGAACUGUGUCACCGAUGCCAGUCAGGAGGCGGCCCCUAGCCCAUCACGUGCUGCAGG
This 5638-nucleotide long non-coding RNA is filed under the name Chlamydomonas reinhardtii. Its description in RNAcentral is "long non-coding RNA (CREI_LNC001410)". Lineage: Eukaryota; Viridiplantae; Chlorophyta; Chlorophyceae; Chlamydomonadales; Chlamydomonadaceae. The record is from RNAcentral.